CCAGGCUUUGAUAAUAGUUAGGAAAUACACAGACAAAGGCUGGCAUUCAGCUUUGGAUUUGGAAGUCUAGGAUUAGUACUUAUCUGUGCUGCAUUUUACUCACAUUUAUUGUGUUCAGGAGUCUUCUAAGGGCUGUAUGAGGUAGAGCUGUUUGUGUGACUUGAAGAUACAUCAUCUUUGGAGAUCUGGUUAAGAUGGGCACAAACCCCAUUCUUGUAGUCCAUGGUGGAGCUUGGGCAAUACCAGAUGAUUUUGCUGAAAGAAGCAUCCUGGGGUUAAAAAUGCAGUUAAGAGUGGCUUUGCAGUGCUGGAAAUGGGAGGAAGUUCAAUGAAGGCUGUAGAAAUUGCUGUGCAGGCCUUAGAAGAUGAUACUGUGUUUGAUGCAGGACCGGUUCACAAAAUGAUGCAACUCUUUCUAGAAAUUUGGAUGAACAAUUUCAGUUCCAUUGGUCACAUGAACUUUUACAAAAUAUUUUUUAAAUGGCAUCCUGUUUACUUAUCCCAGAAGUUUUUACAGAACAUGCAAAAUUAAUUGCCAGGAAGUUCAUUUUUUUCAUGCAUAGAGAAGUUUCUUUCCUUUGUAAAUGUGGAUUCUGGUCUGAGUAAAAUGAAUACAAUUUUCCUUCACAUAACAAGCAAUAUUGGAUUAAAAUAUAUCUGCCAUUGAAGAAAAUCUUUUUUGUAUCUCUUCAUACUCCAUUCAGUGAUUUGUAUAUCCAAACUUCUUCAAAGAAUGUCAGAAAUCCACAUGAUGUCCUUGAGCAUUACAUUGCUCUUUCAGAUCUCUGAUUUAGCUGACAGAUGUGUACAAACACAUCAGAGUGGACAAUACCUUAAUGACUAUGCAGCUGUCGAUACUAGAGCACAUGCUAAUCCUACAAAGCUUGAUAUUUUAUUUAUACUAUAAAUAUUCUCCAAUAUCAUGUUUUUCUGUUGAUAAGAUCUUUUUUUUCCCUGAUUUUAACUGCUUUUGUUCAAAGUACUCUUCUUCUCAAUACUUUUACAACACAUUUGUGGAACAUGUGCAGAUAACCAUUCUUUUUGGAGGAUUGAAAUAUAUCAGUGGAUCUUCAAUUAAGUCUGGAAGCUGCCCUUGUCCCCCUAAACACAUACAUAAAACCACUUUUCAGAGCACUGCAGUGUCUGCCUGAUGGUAUCAUGUAGCCUUUAGAGAUUAUCUGCCCUGUUGAUUAUUCCCCACCAGAAGUCAUAAUCCUGUUUGUGAUAUGAUAAUCAUUUCUACAGAAACCAAUUUUGAUGCCACAAACAGGAGAUUAUGACUUCAGUCAGAAAAUAAACAGCAGAUGCAGUUUAACUCUUAAGAAUUAGAAAUCCUGUUUAUCUACAUAUAUCUCUAAUUAAAAAUAUUAUAAAGCAAGAUCUGAACCAUUCACCACCACAAAAAUGUAUGUAUAUUUAUUAUUAUUCAAAAUUGUCCAAGAGC
Molecule: long non-coding RNA, 1444 nt
Organism: Dermochelys coriacea (leatherback sea turtle)
Lineage: Eukaryota; Metazoa; Chordata; Testudines; Dermochelyidae
Exons: 3
Source: RefSeq, a predicted model, not a curated record